This is a non-coding RNA of Arachis ipaensis, 3092 nucleotides long. The record is from RefSeq and is a predicted model, not a curated record. Lineage: Eukaryota; Viridiplantae; Streptophyta; Magnoliopsida; Fabales; Fabaceae.
GUAGAUAUAUAUAUGAUGCGUAUUUUGGAUAUAUUUGGUUGUGGAUAUAAUUUGGAGUAUGUUGUUGUUGUUGUCUUGGAAAUGGAGGUUUAUUAUUAAUACAGGGAGUUAAUAUUUAUGUUGGUAAGGUCCUAGAAACAGAGGAGAUUCUGUUCGUUUUUUUCUGAAAAUUUGGUCGUUUGGCUUACUGAGGGACUUGUCCCUUGAGCGCCAGUCAUGGCUUGGUUCGGGUCAUGACAAAGUGGUAUCAGAGCCUGGUUUUCCUGUGUAAUAUGGAGCAAGUGUUCUUUAGUAAGAUCACAAUUGUGCAAAUGGAAGCCGGCCCAUUUUCAUAAAGUGUGAUUUUACUAGAGGCCUAUAGGAAGUUGUCCUCAAUCUUUUGGUCUCAUAAUUCUUUCUGUCUGUCCUAUUAUCUUCGAACUCCAUAUAUAUAUGUCGUUGGUGAUUCAAUCGCUCUACUUACUCGAUAGGUGGAAGAUGCCACCUAAGAAAAGACGUGGUGGAACUGUUGGUGCUCCUGAUACUGCUGAAUCCAAUAGGGCAGUUUCUCCGCCACUUGGAGCGCUUCGACAAAGGCCAAGGAGCCAAAGGAUAGCUGAUAGGCGCGCAGGAGAGAUACCCCGCGAGAGAGUUCAAGAGAACCCCGCAGUAAGAGAGGCUCAACCGGAUUUAGCAGUUGAAUUGAGGGGAAUGAAUCAAACUCUUAAUGCGGUGUUACAGGUUCUAACAAAUCAAAAUAGGGGUGAAGCGAGACUUUCUAAUGCGCCAAAUCCUCAGCCUCAUAGGGUUCAUCAAUUGUUUGGGGAUCAAGAGCCGCCAAUUGAAAAGUAUUUGAAGUUGAAUUCGUCCACUUUCAAUGGAGAUUCAUUGGAUGAAGAUCCACAACAAUAUCUAGAGGAUGCAAAGAAAGCUAUUCGAGCUCUCAAGUGCACCAAAGAAUGGGCUGUUGAGUUAGUAUCCUACAACUUGCGUGGUUCAGCAAGGUAUUGGUAUGAGUCUCUUCUUGAGAGCAAAGAAGCAGCUGGACUUCCUCCUCCUUCUUGGGAAGAGUUUAUUGAAGAGUUUCUUACUCGAUUUUAUCCAGCUAACAAGCAAGCAGAAGAUGCAAUUGCCUUUGAAAGAUUAAGGCAAGAGAAUAUGACAGUGACUGAGUAUGCUAAGGAGUUUACUAGACUUUCUAAGAGUGCUCCGUACUUGGUGAAUUCAGAAGAGAUGAAAGUUCGUCGUUUCGUUCGUGGAUUGGCAGAACCUAUGUUCACUACUCUUAUGCCUGAAGUCGGACGCAUGUCUUUUAAGGAUGUCCUAAACUCUGCCUAUGGAAUUGAAGCUGGAAUAGCGGAGAGAAAUGCUUUUAAGGAUGUUGGUAAGAAGCCCAAGAUGAAGGGACAAUUUUCUGGUGGAUCUAGUUUAGGAGGAUUUCAGUCUCAUCAUGUUCAAACUAACCAGCAAGGUUAUUCGGGGUAUCGAGCUCGUCCUCAAGCAUCUUUUGGUGGGGUUGCUUCUUCUGGAUCUGCUCCCAUGAGUGUUUCGAAUCCCAGACCUUUUGUUAAGAGCACCUCUCAAUCUAGUGCACAGGGUUCAAAUCAGACAAGGCCAGCUCAGCCCUAUUGUCUUCAGUGUGGGAGUUACCAUUCCGGUAUAUGUUUCAAGGCUACUGGUGCAUAUUUUGGUUGUGGUCAAUCUGGUCAUCUUAGGAGGGAUUGUCCAAAUCCUAGAGGAGGCUUUGCUCCAGGUAUUGCACAUCCUACAACACCAAUGCCAUCAUCUUCAGCUAUGUCCAUUGGAAAUUCUUCUGGUCCUAGUGGCAGAGGAGCAGGUGGCAGGGGUCAGACUUAUAACAGAGGAGGGAGCCAAAGAGGAAGAGGUCAGGCACGUGUGUAUGCUUUAACACGUCAAGAUGCUCAAGCUUCUAAUGCUGUGGUGGCAGAGUUGUAGAAUUAUUGGACAUCAUUUGGUAGCUCGUUGGCGCGCUCAGAGUUGUUUCUGGUUCUUUGGAAUCAAGUUAUACAGGAGUCAUUUCAGGUUCCAUUCCACCAGCCCCUCAGUAGAUCUUAGUCAUUUUGGUGAGCCCUUCUUCUUUCCCAGGGCUAAGUAAUUAUGUAAUGGAACAUUUGCUCAAAAUUUAGAUUAUGUCAAUGCUCCAUAUGUCACAGGCAGGAUCCUCGUGUGGGUUAUGUUAUUUUGAAUCUUGAACUGUUUAGGUAGUGAUUUUGAUUUGGUUAUGUAAGACUUAUAGUUUUAACUAUAUACUCUAAUUAUCAACUUGAUAUAUAUAGAUGAUGCGUAUUUUGGAUAUAUUUGGUUGUGGAUAUAAUUUGGAGUAUGUUGUUGUUGUUGUCUUGGAAAUGGAGGUUUAUUAUUAAUACAGGGAGUUAAUAUUUAUGUUGGUAAGGUCCUAGAAACAGAGGAGAUUCUGUUCGUUUUUUUCUGAAAAUUUGGUCGUUUGGCUUACUGAGGGACUUGUCCCUUGAGCGCCAGUCAUGGCUUGGUUCGGGUCAUGACAAAUUCUUUGCUGGUUGAGUACAUGGACAAGGAGCUAUGUAUAUACUUGAACUUUGUUGUCUCAGGCAGGAACUUCAAGCUGGAGUGGACCGCUCUUAGAGUGGUAUAAUCCUGCACUGCAUUACUCUUGUGACUGUUUUCUUGUACAAUAUACUUUCUCAUGCACCUUUUUAUAACCAUUGUGAAUAAGGGUUUUGCUUUUCCUACAUUGAAGUAUGUACAAGAUAAUCAUCAUGCCCAUGGUACGGCCUAUUUUACUGUGAUCAUAAUAAAAAAAGCACAAGCAUUAAAUUUAUCUCGUGUCUUUUUUCCAAUUUUCCACAAAAUUCUUAGAUUGUUGCUUUUUUACCCUUUUUUUUUUACCCUACUUGAGAGCAUGGUAAAACUUGGUUAUUUGGAGCAAAUAAUGUUGAAAGCAAGGUUGAGUGGCUGGUAUGGUGAUCUCAAAACAGUAUUCCUCUAAAGGAAGAAAUGAAUUCUGAGGCAUGUCUUUUGAGUAAGUUUUGAAUAGUAUUAUGUGGCUAUUACUGUUAGGGGAUUUUGGCCAUAAUGCUAUAUAUAAACUACAUACAACAUAGAAUGUUUAUUAG